CGAAAUUCGUUGAAGAGAACAACGCUGUUUUUGAACAGAAUGGUUCAGAGAGCCUGCGGUUGGUGUGAGCAGGUGCAUUUUCAAUAACAGAUAUCCUCUCUAAGAUGCAGACUGAACAUUAUCUGACAUUUUUUAUUUUUUCUAAUCAGUAGGUCUCGCCGGAAUCCUCCGUUAAAAGGAAAGCGUAUGACAGUACGUUAAGAGCUGUAAUUUUAUUACAGAAUUUGGGUGGUAACGCGGAUUUUUUCGUCCCUUUU
This 257-nucleotide non-coding RNA is filed under the name Anaerobutyricum hallii. Its description in RNAcentral is "Eubacterium hallii T-box sequence". It matches the Rfam family "T-box leader". Rfam says of the family: Uncharged tRNA acts as the effector for transcription antitermination of genes in the T-box leader family. T-boxes are found upstream of many aminoacyl-tRNA synthetase genes and some amino acid biosynthetic genes usually in Gram-positive bacteria. The anticodon of a specific tRNA base pairs to a specifier sequence within the T-box motif, and the NCCA acceptor tail of the tRNA base pairs to a conserved bulge in the T-box antiterminator hairpin. Lineage: Bacteria; Bacillati; Bacillota; Clostridia; Lachnospirales; Lachnospiraceae. The record is from RNAcentral.